CAGACUAAGCAGUUAAUUUCUAAAUUUGUGCCCAACCUUGAGACCUCUCCUUUCUUCAAAUCUGUCCGUGCCUUCCUCUCUGAACUAAUUGUACGAAGUUUUAUAUUACGGCCAAAUAUAAACAAAGAUCCACAUUUGGAACACCCGUGCAAAAGUGUCUUUGGAUCUGUUUCCAAAUUCCAUUCCUCCAAAAGAGAGAACAUCCUCCUCAAGUAGUGGCUUGACAAUGAUGGACUAAUCGCGUAUGUCUCUGCCGCUAUUGAUAACAAAAAUUGCAGUUUACGUUCUUGAUCCAUCUUUGGAAGUCUUGUUAGCCCAGGAAACUAAAAUAUUUGGUCAAGUGUAGAUGAAAGUGUUACAGACGCCAAUUCUCUCUGAAAUUAAAGAAUGAUUCCAAAAAAAAAACACCA
Non-coding RNA from Schizosaccharomyces pombe (fission yeast), 410 nucleotides. The record is from the annotation of a GenBank genome assembly. Lineage: Eukaryota; Fungi; Ascomycota; Schizosaccharomycetes; Schizosaccharomycetales; Schizosaccharomycetaceae.